Long non-coding RNA from Heterocephalus glaber (naked mole-rat), 2393 nucleotides. RefSeq lists it as uncharacterized. Lineage: Eukaryota; Metazoa; Chordata; Mammalia; Rodentia; Bathyergidae. The record is from RefSeq and is a predicted model, not a curated record.
UUUAUGUGAACCUAAAAUUGCUCUUUAAAAUUUAAGUUAAAAAAAAAAGAAAUGAAACAUGGUCCCUGCCAUCUGAGCAAUAAUUUAAGGUUCACAAAAACAUUUUUCAGACUUAAGCUACUUUGAAUAUCAUAUCAUCUUCACUUAGGAGAUGAGGAAAUUCGGGUUCAGAAAGUUUAUGUGACUUACCUCGAGUCAUACAGCCAGUGUUGGGAGCAGAGAGCACGUGGAAAAUUCUUGCCUGCUUUUCAACAUCCACCCAAGAAGUAAUCAUUGGGCAAAACUGACCACCAGGCCUCAUCUCACUGCAAGGGGGCUGAAGAAUGACAGAAGACAAAGCUCCAGCUGGCAGAGAAAGAUGAAUGUGAGAGAAGGAAAAGUUUUAUCUAAGCCUGGAACCCAAGAAGAGAACCUCUGCCUGCCCAAAUCAGAUCAACACAAAUCUAUAUUUUCAAAAAACCUAAAGCAAGGAAAAUGUUAGCUUUAUAAACUCCACUUUGGAAAAGUUUUAGAACAGACCUUAUUAUAGAGUUCCACUAAGGCACCUGGUAUGGUAUUUCAUAUGGAAUUUGAUUCACAGAACUUUUAAUUUCAUCAGUAAAAUGUUAUUAACAACUCCCAUCUUGUAAGGCAUCAAAAGUUUUUAAAACAUGGUGUCCAAUCAAAAUCACAUCUGUCUGUAGGUUCCUUAAGGUUCUCCAAAUCACUAGGAAUACAGAGGCCCCUGUCUGUUCAAAUCAGGAAAAUGUGAGACCCUUUUCAUAAAGGAGAAACUGACAUUAGAGUAAGAAUUGGAGCCCAGACCUGGGAAGUUGUCAACCCUCUCUAUGGCCAAGAGGAAGAAGUGUGUGGGACCUGGUCAGUUACAGAACUUUUUCAGUUCUGAAUCUCACAUCCUUUCUUCAGUAGGCAUCCAUAGAAGGGAAUUGCUUCUGUGAGCGAGAGGCCAGGGUUCAUUCAAGGAGCAAACUCUCUUCCUCUUUUAUCUUGUCCAGGGAUGCCCAAAGGACCUGCCCUCUGCUGAUAUCUACAAAAGAUGAUAUUUUCAAAAUGUCCAAGAGUCUCUGAUCUGUGUGUUCAGCAGGAUAACCAAGCUACUGCCUAUCAGAGCAGGGGGCCUAACACCCCUUCCAUUACUGGUUGGCUCUGAUUAUCUUGAGGCUGCCAUGCUUUGAAGAAGUCAAACCACAUAGAGAAAUCAUCAGUGUUGGCCCCAGUGCCAAAGGUGUGAGUGAGGAGCCUUCAGACAACUCCAGCCCCCAUCCCCUGCCUGGGAGCCCACUCAGCUGGAGCACCAGACAGCAUGUGCAGGCCCUCCCUGCCAUGCCUUUUCUACUCCCACCCUACAGAAUCUGGGAGCACUGGACGUGGUUGUUUUAAGCUGUAAAGUUGUGGGAUCACUUGCUAUGAUAACCUUAUGUGGAGGUCUCAGGACACCUGACAUCUUCUCCACGCCACUCACUGCCAUGAGAAUUAAUGAACUAGGCUGGCAAUUCCUUGCUUAAGGUUUAUUUUUCCCACUUGGCUCUAAGUUCUGGGAGGGCAGGAUGCUGUCAGGGUCAUCAUUGUGCUUCCAGUGAGUUAGCCAGGGAGAUGCUCAAUGAAUACUUAAUGAAUGACUGAUCCCAACACUGUCCUCAGGCUGACCCCUCCACUACCCUCAGAAUGACUCUGGCUCUGGAUUCAGAUUCACUCUAACUCUGGCCUCGGACCAACCCUUAAUUCUGGCAUCAAAGACCUAACCCUGGCCACAGCCUGACAGAGCCUCUCACUUUAGUGCCUGAGCACUAAGCCUAGCUUCAGACUGACCCAAAAUCUUGACUUCAGAAUCACUCCUGACUCUGACCUCAGGCUCAGUCCCAACCUCACACUGGCUGGGAUGAUCUGUCUCUGCUCCCCUCUCCUGGCUUAUGUUGCCCUGCCCUCUCCCCAUGUUCCUUCCACGUCACUGCCUUGCCCUUCUCUCAGUCGUCUGGAGGUAUAAGGGCCUUUCAGGUGUCAGUACCUUCAUAUACAGGGUCUCCUUCCCACAGGAACACCCCCUCCUAACUCCUGCUAUUUUUAAAUCUUUCUUAAAUACCACUUUUUCAAGGAUCAAUUAGUUUAAAUGAGACCUUUAGAACUGCUCUUGGCAUUUUUGCAUUUCAAAAGCAUAUCUAUAGGUGUGCAUUUACUAUUAUGUCUGAUGUCUUUCUCUUCCUUCAGACUAUAAACUCCUUCUGUGAGUGUGGAGCCUAAUAAAUAAUUGUGGAAUGAUUGAACAAAUGAUUAAUUAUCCCAUCUCCUAGGAAGCUUUUUCUGUGACCUCCCUGCCAUGGUGGAGUUCACAUUUUCCCUCUGAACAGCCCCAUGCCAGCACUUAGCCUAGGGGUGGGUUAUUUGCCUUCACGCCU